RNAcentral lists this unclassified non-coding RNA (619 nucleotides) under Hevea brasiliensis (rubber tree). Lineage: Eukaryota; Viridiplantae; Streptophyta; Magnoliopsida; Malpighiales; Euphorbiaceae. The record is from RNAcentral.
UUCAUCACAACUGUGGCUAUCUCUUUCAGCAAGCAGAGUUAUACUUAAUCUGCAUUUUUUUUACUUAAUUUUUAUUCUUUGUUGCGGAAAAGUGUAUUUGGGGGAGCUUGCUGAAAAUUAACUGCAGCUUCUUAUGCCUUUGUUUUUGGAUUAAUUUUGCUUCUUGGGUUUCUGAAAAAAAUUGUUCUUGCUUUGUGGGUUUUCAGUUAAGUGGUUGUGCUUUAUGGGUUUUUCAUAUUAGUGGGUAAGCUUCAGUUGGGUAAUUGAAAUAGUGGGUUAUGCUUUCAUGGGGUUGAAAUAGUUGGGAUUGUAAGUUUAUUGUUGAGUCCGAAUUGGAAUUAUAAGAUGGCCAAGCUAUUAAGCAAAAUUUUGCCUGCUGCUCGAUCAACUCCUAAAGAGGAAGAAAAUGAUGAUUAUAAUGAAUAUUCGUGCUCAUUUGCUGUGGUGUACUCUGGCCCUCCAAUCACUCAUGAAAUUCCCCGAGCAGUGCCAGUUGAUGUUAGCCAAAUCCCAAUCGCAGCCAAACUUGCCUCAACCUCACUGUUGAAUGACGUGUCGUUGCCAGUUAUCCAACCUAUUAGACAGUCUAAAUCAUCAGGUAAGAAAACGUCCAAGGAGC